Molecule: RNA transcript, 2813 nt
Organism: Drosophila busckii
Lineage: Eukaryota; Metazoa; Arthropoda; Insecta; Diptera; Drosophilidae
Gene: dsx
Gene name: protein doublesex
Exons: 5
Source: RefSeq, a predicted model, not a curated record
AGCCAUUGAAAUAGUUUUAUAUUAAAGUGCGAAAGUCGCGUUUGUGGAAUUCUAGUCAAUGUGCGGCUGAUCUCUCUCUCUCUCUUAUGUCUCAACUUCAAAUAUUAAUUAAACGACUAAGAAAAUAUAAAAAAUGCUUUUAAAUUGCUGAGCCGCUGCUUUAAACUUUGAACACACAGCUCAGCCGCAAUUGCUACGGAUUUGUUCAACUCUCAAAUUAUACAAGUUCCCAGCAUGGUGUCCGAGGAGAACUGGAACAGCGACACCAUGUCCGACACGGACAUGAUUGACUCCAAGAACGAUGUUUGCGGCGGCGCCAGCAGCAGCAGCGGCAGCUCCAUAUCGCCGCGCACGCCGCCGAAUUGCGCGCGUUGCCGCAAUCAUGGACUGAAGAUUACGCUGAAGGGUCACAAGCGCUACUGCAAGUACCGCUAUUGCACCUGCGAAAAGUGUCGCCUCACAGCGGAUCGGCAGCGUGUGAUGGCGCUGCAGACGGCGCUGCGUCGCGCCCAGGCGCAGGAUGAGCAGCGCUCGUUGCACAUACACGAGGUGCCGCCGCCGGCGGGCUCCACCACAGCGCUGCUUGGCCAUCAUAGUCAUCAUCUGCCGGUGCAUGCUCACGCCCACUCCCAUGCGCACACACAUCACGCCGGCCACGCCCAUCACGGGCACUUGCUGCACCAGCAAGUGGCAGCCGCCGCCGCCUCAGCAGUGCCGCCGCCGCAGUCGCAGCCGCAGACGCAUCUCGCUCACAAUGGCAUCGCUGCCAGCUUGCAGGCUCACGCUCAUCCACAUGCGCAUAUGCAUCAUGCCCACAUGGCUGCUGCAGCGGCUCACCAUCAUCAUCACAGCAACCAGCAGCAGCAGCAGCAACAUCAACAGCAACAGCAGCAGCAGCAGCAACAUCAACAGCAGCAGCAGCCACAUCAGCAAGCAUCCUUGAGAUCUCCUUCGCACAGCGAUCAUGGCGCCACCAGCAGCUCGGGCAAUGGCGGCGGCGGCGGCGCCAGCAGCAGCAAUGCAAACGCUGUCGGCAGCAGAGCCAACAGCGGCGGCAGCAGCAGCAGCGGCGGCGGCGGCAUUAGCGUCAUAACCAGCGCUGAGCAUCAUCACAAUCACAAUAAUAUGUCCACGGUGCCAACGCCCGCGCAGUCCUUGGAAGGUUCCUGUGACUCGUCAUCGCCAUCGCCAUCAUCUACUUCCGGCAAUGCCAUUUUGGCCAUGUCCGUCUCCAGCACACGCAAAAAUUUGCCACUAGGCCAAGAUGUUUUACUAGACUAUUGCCAAAAGCUAUUAGAAAAAUUUCGUUAUCCCUGGGAGCUAAUGCCACUCAUGUAUGUGAUAUUAAAAGAUGCUGGCGCCGACAUUGAUGAGGCCACACGUCGCAUUGAAGAGGCGUUUCGUAUUUUGGCGCCAUUGUAUUAUUACUAUCCGCCUAUAGCGCCCAUAUACUUGACCUAUCCAAGCAUCGAGCGCUUUAACCAGUUCACCCAAAUGCCGUUGCCGCUGAUACGGCCGCCCACGCCCGAGCUGCCGUCCAGCCGCUCACCGCCCAGUCCCAGCUCUGCCACAGACGCAACCGUAAAUCUAAUCAAGAAGCACACACGGCCUGGCCACAGCAACGCCGCCUCACCCACAUCCACAUCGACACCGCUGUCAGCAUUGGCCAUGCCGCCCAUUUCCAAUGCCGUCGCCGCCGUCGCUCGACAGCGCUCACGCUCGGAGACGCCGCCAACACCGCCGUCGCCGCCGCCAGCGCACAGCAGCAGCAAUGUUAUCAGCACAUUUAAUGCCACAGCCGCCGCUGCAGCCACGUAGCAGUAUCAGUAUCGCAAUGUUGCCGCCGCCGCAGCAGCAGCAGCGGCAGCCGCUGUGCUCUUUGUCGAUAAUUAAAUGCAUACAAAAAUUUCAACACCAAAUACCAAGCCAGGCCUGCUGGCUGCCUAACAACUUUAGUAGAACUGGAACCUCUCGCGGCUAAGCAAGUAACUAAUUACUAAUUACUAAUUGCAACAAAUUUAAAUUUAAAUAAAUUGUUUUCACCUAAAGUUAACGCAUAUUCAAAUUGAUCUCAACAAAACGAAAGCAAAUAUAUAAACUUGUUUCAAAAUGUGCACAGGCGAAAAUCGAACAUUACUAGUAGUAACUCCUUUUAAUGCAUUUUUCAGCAAAUACAAUUGAAGAAUAAUCGAAUUAAUUGAAAGUAAUGCAACUCCGAAUCUUAUCAUGAUCUGCACAUACAUAUGUAAUACUAUAUAGUACGAUAUCUAGUCCUAAGCUUGAGCACUAUUUAUUGCUAAACAUUGUACAGCUUAACUAACCAAUUAGAGACAACAAUUACUUUCAAUAUGCACUUUAAACAUAAACAUGAGAUUAUAUCAGCUUGAAAAUAAAAAAACAAACAAACAAACAUUAAAUGAAUAUGGUAUACAUAUGUAUGGAGAGCUUUGUUAACUUUGUUCAUAAAUUUCUUUUUCAAAUACAACAUUUCCUUCGGCUGUGCGCUGUCAUGUUUGCAGCAUGCAGUUUUAUUAUAAUCAUAUGUAUGUAUAUAUAUUAUAUUUAUAUUAUUUUCUCUUGAUGUGCGCGACAGAAGCGCCCACUACGACUUAUAUUCAAAUUUUGUAAUUUUAAGUUUUUACAUUAUAUAUUUCAUUUUGUAUUUUAAUUUUUCGUUUUUCGAAUUGUGUGUUAGGAAUGGACAGGAACCAAAAAUGUUAUGCUAUUCAAAUGUUAGUUGAAUUCUUUUGUAUUUGCUUAAGCAGAAUUGAAAAUAAAACAAUUAAACUGUAGCUCAAACAUUUAACAUUUCA